Molecule: transfer RNA, 69 nt
Filed under: Neoneuromus maculatus
Lineage: Eukaryota; Metazoa; Arthropoda; Insecta; Megaloptera; Corydalidae
Description: Neoneuromus sp. 1 FY-2017 tRNA-Gln
Source: RNAcentral
UACAUUUUAGUAUAUGAUGUACAAGAACUUUUGAUGUUUUAAGAGAUAGUUUAAUUCUAUUAAAUGUAA